Molecule: long non-coding RNA, 303 nt
Filed under: Mytilus galloprovincialis (Mediterranean mussel)
Lineage: Eukaryota; Metazoa; Mollusca; Bivalvia; Mytilida; Mytilidae
Source: RNAcentral
AAAAAAGUACUGUAUCGCUUAUUGUGUGCAUUCCUAUGACUGUCCAUACUCUUGACUUACUUUCUAUUCAUGUGUUUACAUUGAUAACAUAUAUGCAAGGAACAACUGCCGUCAAACUGAAGUAGGUGCCUAUACAUAACCAAUAACACGAGAAUUGAUUCUAAAGCAAUGAAUCCCAAAUAUUGCAUGUGUAAUAUACACAUAAAAUAAAAUAAGGCCAUUGUAUACAAGUUUCAAAACAACAUAAACAAUUUUUCGAAACUUUUUUUGAACAUGGUAUAAUAUGUAACAAAUGCAGUCAAC